GGAGGCAGCAGUGAGGAAUAUUGGUCAAUGGGCGAAAGCCUGAACCAGCCAUGCCGCGUGAAGGAUGACGGCCCUAUGGGUUGUAAACUUCUUUUAUACGCGGAAGAAACCCCUCUACGUGUAUGGGGCUGACGGUACCGUACGAAUAAGCAUCGGCUAACUCCGUGCCAGCAGCCGCGGUAAUACGGAGGAUGCAAGCGUUAUCCGGAUUUAUUGGGUUUAAAGGGUGCGUAGGCGGAAAAUUAAGUCAGUGGUGAAAUCCUGCAGCUUAACUGUAGAAUUGUCAUUGAUACUGGUUUUCUUGAAUACAGUUGAGGUAGGCGGAAUGAGUAAUGUAGCGGUGAAAUGCUUAGAUAUUACUCAGAACACCAAUUGCGAAGGCAGCUUACUAAACUGUGAUUGACGCUGAGGCACGAAAGCGUGGGGAGCGAACAGGAUUAGAUACCCUGGUAGUCCACGCCGUAAACGAUGAUCACUCGUUGUUGGCAAUACACCGUCAGCGACUGAGCGAAAGUAUUAAGUGAUCCACCUGGGGAGUACGAUUGCAAGAUUGAAACUCAAAGGAAUUGAUGGGGGCCCGCACAAGCGGAGGAACAUGUGGUUUAAUUCGAUGAUACGCGAGGAACCUUACCUGGGCUUAAAUGCAUAACGACGGAUCGGGAAACUGGUCUUUCUUCGGACGGAAUGCAAGGUGCUGCAUGGCUGUCGUCAGCUCGUGCCGUGAGGUGUCGGGUUAAGUCCCAUAACGAGCGCAACCCUCAUCAUUAGUUGCCAGCGGGUAAUGCCGGGGACUCUAAUGAAACUGCCGGUGUAAACCGAGAGGAAGGCGAGGAUGACGUCAAGUCAGCACGGCCCUUAUGUCCAGGGCUACACACGUGUUACAAUGGUCAGUACAAAGGGCAGCUACCAGGCAACUGGAUGCUAAUCUCAAAAGCUGGUCACAGUUCGGAUCGGAGUCUGCAACUCGACUUCGUGAAGUUGGAUUCGCUAGUAAUCGCGCAUCAGCCAUGGCGCGGUGAUACGUUCCCGGGCCUUGUACACACCGCCCGUCAAGCCAUGGAGCCGGGGGUACCUGAAGUUCGUAAC
Molecule: ribosomal RNA, 1086 nt
Filed under: uncultured organism
Description: bacterial SSU rRNA
Rfam family: Bacterial small subunit ribosomal RNA
Source: RNAcentral